CCUAGUAAGCGUGAGUCAUCAGCUCAUGUUGAUUACGUCCCUGCCCUUUGUACACACCGCCCGUCGCUACUACCGAUUGAAUGGCUUAGUGAGACUCUCGGAUCGGGUUUUGGGAACCGGCAACGGAUCCUUUCUUCUGAGAAGUUUGUCAAACUUGGUCAUUUAGAGGAAGUAAAAGUCGUAACAAGGUUUCCGUAGGUGAACCUGCGGAAGGAUCAUUAGAAUAUUCGGGAAUUUUUCCCUAAAUAUCUUAUUCAAAAAUUUCCAUUCUAAAAAUAAAAUUUUAAAUUUCAUUAAAGAAUUAAGACACUUUCAACAACGGAUCUCUUGGCUCUUGCAUCGAUGAAGAACGCAGUGAAAUGCGAUACGUAAUGUGAAUUGCAGAAUUCCGUGAAUCAUCAAAUCUUUGAACGCAAAUUGCACUCCUUGGUAUUCCGAGGAGUAUGCUUGCUUGAGGGUCGAAUCAUAUUAUCGUUUUAUAACGGAUCUGGGUUUUUCCAAAUUUUUUUUAAACCUUGGUAACCUAAAAUUUAUCUUAAUAAUAUUUGUAAUAUUGAAAAUGUGUAUCUUACGUUCACGUGAGUUUAUUGACAAUUAUUAUGAAUUUAUUACGUCGUAUUAUUCACUCGAUUUUUUUAACGAUCGGGGCGAAAAUGAUACAAUUUUUUAAAAUUCGACCUCAAGUCAAGUAAGAAUACCCGCUGAACUUAAGCAUAUCAAUAAGCGGAGGAAAAGAAACUAACAAGGAUUCCCUUAGUAACGGCGAGUGAACUGGGAAGAGCUCAAAUUUAAAAUCAUCAGGGUUUCCUUGAUGAGUUGUAAUUUGAAGAAAGUGUUUUGAUGUUCGGGUUUUAUCUAAAUCCUUUGGGAUAAGGUAUCAUAGAGGGUGAGAAUCCCGUUCGUGAUUAAACCUCGGAUGUCACUUAAUUCAUUUUCUAAGAGUCGAGUUGUUUGGGAUUGCAGCUCAAAAUGGGUGGUAAAUUUCACCUAAGGCUAAAUAUAUGCGAGAGACCGAUAGCGAACAAGUACCGUGAGGGAAAGAUGAAAAGAACUUUGAAAAGAGAGUUAAAUAGUACGUGAAAUUGUUGAAAGGGAAACGAUUGAAGUCAGUCAUGCUAGUGAGGAAUCAACUCGGUGGUUUUCUUCCGGGUGUACUUUCUCGCCUGGUAGGUUAGCAUCAAUUUCGUUCAUCAUUAAAUGAUCGGGGUAAUGUGGCUUCUCUUCGGAGUAGUGUUAUAGACCUUGGUAGAUGUGAUGAUCGGGAUUGAGGAUUGCAGCGAAUGCUAUUUGGCUAGUCCCCUGAUUUCUGAUGGUCACCUCGCCUUCGACAGCUUGCUGACGUGGGUGGGUUCUGAUUGUCUAGAUGUUAGAGUGAUCAUAUAUUCGCUAAGGGUGCUGACGUAAUGGCUUUAAACGACCCGUCUUGAACACGGACCAAGGAG
This 1442-nucleotide ribosomal RNA is filed under the name Acaulospora koskei. Its description in RNAcentral is "eukaryotic LSU rRNA". The stretch from base 675 to 1442 matches the Rfam family "Eukaryotic large subunit ribosomal RNA", at positions 1 to 673 of the family's 3401-position model. Lineage: Eukaryota; Fungi; Glomeromycota; Glomeromycetes; Diversisporales; Acaulosporaceae. The record is from RNAcentral.